Carassius gibelio (silver crucian carp) is the source of this 4109-nucleotide RNA transcript. It is a transcript of the gene named potassium voltage-gated channel, shaker-related, subfamily, member 6 a, with no coding region annotated. The record is from RefSeq and is a predicted model, not a curated record. NCBI's taxonomy places the organism in Eukaryota, Metazoa, Chordata, Actinopteri, Cypriniformes, Cyprinidae. The transcript has 2 exons.
GCUCUCGGCUGAGCAUGUUGUCAGAAUGACUUCUAUUGCAUUACACCAAUAAACUAGUUUAAAAAGUUGUUAAACUUUUAGAAGGUAGCUUAGUAGCUGUUAGAGGUUAAUUUAGGGCUCUACCUCCGUCAGGCUGGAGCUAUCAGAUCCAAAAAACUGGUGGAGUGGCGGAAAGUCGUGGAGACACAACAGACAACACUCUCGAGGGGCAAAGAUGUCCCGAGAGAACCACGAUGAGAGUGUGGACCACGCCGUCCUCUUCCAGGACGUCUGUGAAGUGGAGCCCCCUGACCAGGAGUGCUGCAAACUAGUCACCAUCAACAUUUCAGGUCUGCGUUUCGAAACUCAACUCAAAACCCUCGCCAGAUAUCCGAACACGUUACUGGGAGACCCGGUUAAAAGGAUGCGGUUCUACGACCCGCUCAGGAACGAGUUCUUCUUCGACAGGAACCGACCCAGUUUUGAUGCCAUCCUGUAUUACUAUCAGUCCGGCGGGAGGCUUCGGAGACCCAUCAACGUGCCGGUUGAGAUCUUUAUGGACGAAAUCAAAUUUUACGAAAUCGGCGAUGACGUCAUCGAUCGUUUCCGAGAGGACGAGGGUUUGUUAAAAGAAGAGGAGCGUCCCGUUCCGCCCAGUGGGUUUAAGCGUCAAAUCUGGCUGCUGUUCGAGUACCCCGACAGCUCCGGUCCAGCCAGGAUGAUCGCUAUAGUAUCCGUGAUGAUCAUCCUGAUAUCCAUCGUUAUCUUCUGUUUAGAAACCUUGCCGGAAUUUAGAGAGGAUGAUCGUGUGUUCAACAACCACCUUGCGCCGAACGGAACGACUGCUGGGAAAAGAUCUAGUACGUUCACGGACCCGUUCUUCUUGUUGGAGACCAUCUGCGUCGUUUGGUUUUCCUUCGAACUGUUUGUGAGGUUUCUUGCAUGCCCGAGCAAGCCCGCCUUCUUCAAAGACAUCAUGAACAUCAUAGAUAUCGUAGCCAUUCUUCCAUAUUUCAUUACUUUGGGUUUAGAUCUCAGCGAAGUGGAGUCGAACUCACAGCAGACCACGUCUCUCGCCAUUCUGAGGGUCAUCCGCUUGGUGCGCGUCUUCAGGAUUUUCAAACUCUCACGGCACUCCAAGGGUCUCCAAAUCCUCGGGCAGACCCUACGAGCGAGUAUGCGAGAGCUUGGACUGCUGAUCUUUUUCCUUAUCAUCGGCAUUAUAUUGUUCUCCAGUGCGGUGUACUUCGCCGAGGUGGAUGACCCGGAAUCGUCUUUUACUAGUAUCCCAGACGCGUUCUGGUGGGCGGUUGUUACCAUGACCACUGUGGGGUAUGGUGACAUGUACCCAGUGACGAUAGGAGGCAAAAUUAUUGGAUCGAUGUGUGCCAUUGCAGGAGUUCUUUCAAUCGCCCUGCCUGUACCAGUAAUCGUGUCGAACUUUAAUUACUUCUAUCACCGAGAGCACAGCGAGGAGGAGCAAGUGGAAUACACGCACGUAACUUGCGCUCGCCCGUUGCCUGUCCUGUGCGACCAAAAUAAAAGCGACAGUAAACCCUCUCUAGUGAUAUCAGAGCACUCAGAUGACGACGAGUGGAAUUCAAUAAGCGUGUUAAAUUUCAAUCCAUCAGAGGAAUAUACAGGCAAACUCACAGAUGUAUAAGAGCACCAAAAGCGCGCGCAUCUGUGUGAGUAUUAGUCUUGCUGUCUAAAUACUUAGGGCUUCUUGUUCCUAGAGUUACAGAAGAGUUUGUGUGGAUGGAGCUAAUUCAGAGCUGGUGUAGAUAUGUCACAGUUUAAUUCUAAAUUAGUGCUCCAAGCUUCUACGUUGCUUGGCAACCACAAACGGCCAGUAGAUUGAAAGCAAGACGCACUUUGAGCCUUACGUCAUCUCAGAAUGUUUACUAACAUUAAAAGGCGCGCCCCAGUUUUCCAACUUAUGCACUGUUCUGUUCCAUUUUGUAGUAGGCUACGUAAAUAGUGGGAGUAGUGUGUUCAUGACGUCAAGUGCUACUUGCACUUGAUGCACCGAAUUUGAAUGUUUGACACUUAAUUUUUUUGUACCUGGGUUUAUGUAUAUAAAAUAUUGUAUGUGUGUGUGUGUGUAUUGAGAACUAAUUAAUUACAAUUAAAUAAGUAAGUUACAAUUAAAUAAGUAGCUAAGUAGGCCUAGCUGUUUCUUCUACUAAACCACAAAAUGAACAUGGCUCAUCAAUAUCAGAAUAUUCCAAAUCUAACGGAUUAGCAGGACAAAUGUUAUGCAGAAGACUUCUCCAAUUUAAAUUCACAAAAAUGAUUCCAAGAGUUUUGCCCUUGGCUGUGAUGUACAAUUUGUGCAGUCAACUGUCACAGCUUUCCUUACAUAACAGAGGGCUAUCAGACUCCAAUGUUUGGUGUUAAAAUAACCUUAUGACCCUACACAAAUCAUACACUGGAAUUCUGAGUACAAAGUGCAUGAUAUAAGUGCAUAAUAUGUAAUUUGGGACAGAACCUAAGCCUACACUUCAGCAGCUGUCAAAUUAAAAUAAUAAAUUAAAUAUUUUAUUUUCAACAGAAAUCCAUUGGAUUUUUAUUAAUGACCUAGAUAGUCAAAUAUCUUAUAGGCUUAUUGCUACAACCAUGAAUAAAGUAUAGAGAAGAGUUUUAUUUUAAUAGCAAAUUUAGGACCAACAUAUCAAUCGCCCACAUUAGGGUUCUUUACAGAGGCUACAUUACACCUGAGCCUAGCAGUAAACUCUUUUUAAAACAAAAAUGUCACAUUUAAUGAUAGCUGCAUGUCUCAUUUUCUGACAGCACAUUGAUCUUACUUCUAAUUGCAGGAAGCAGAAGCUGUAUGACGACAUUUCUUCUCUUUAAAGAAGACAGAAGUUCAUAUCACCUGCAUAAACAAGCAAAAUAACCAUUGUAGGGCUCCAGACUAACAUUUGAAGACACCAGCACCAGUGCCGUUAAGUUCUACAGAAGGUGGCACCAGCACCUGACAGUAAAUAACUCAUUCUAGUUCACACAUGUACAUUUCAGAGAUGUCUAAUUGAUGUCUGCAUUUAUAUAUGCAAGAUGUAUUAUUUUUUUGAGUGUUUUCUCAUCUGCAACAUGUCUCUAAGACGUCUCCUGUCAGAUGUCAAAUAGACAUUUAUUAGAAUGCAUGUAAAACUGCAUUUGUCAAGAUUACACAGCAGAUGUUUCCCAGAUCAUUAGCAGACGUCUCACAGAUGUACUUGCGCUGUCUGGGUAGUUGAGAUCCAGAUGAAAUGAACUUUUAUCACUGUUAUCAAAAGUUGUGUAAAGCAUUUAAUAACACUAGAAAACAUUAGACAAUAUCUGCCACAAGUUGUUCUUGUAGUUUUACUAUGUUAAAUCCAUGGUGAAUGGUGGUGAUCUGUUUAUUUAUGUUUUUCCUAGUUUCCACAUCAGUGCCAUUUGUUCUGAUAUGAAUAGCUUUAACAUAAUUCUGCGCCAAAUUUGAAUGCUCUUCAUUAGAUUUCACAGAGAAUCCUGGUCAGGAUAUGUGUAUAUAUGCAAAUUAUUCCCCCCGUUGAUUUAUUAUUGCGAUUAUAACGCUAUUAUCAAUGCUAUGUUUAUAUCGAAUGUAUCAUUUGUGUACGUAGCUUUAACACAAUUGUCCGUAAAUAUAUAAAUAGGCUAAAUAUUUGGUUCAUCGAUUAGUAGCCUAUUAAUUUACAAAUCAGCCUCUCAAAAAAUCCUCACAGGCCGCUACUGAACAUUAUAUUUUUAUUAUCUUUGUAGUAAUGAAUAGCCUAUUGUAAUAUAUUUGUAAUCUAGAAAUUAUUGACAUAUUAUUUAUAAAAUGCUAAGCUUUAUUUAAGCUUUCAUGUCUUUGCCUUGUGAGAUAGCCUAUUGUUCUUUAAAAUAUCUCAAUCUCUGCCUUGUGUAAUCUGUGUGCUUUAAACAUGCAAGAGAUGUUCUUUGCAUAUUUUGACUUUUCUCAGGAUAAAAUGUAAUUGUAUGGUCUGACACUGUAUACCUGUUACCUUAACAUCUUGGCCAGUUACCCUGCCCACAUGACAGCUGCAGACCAAGUGGACAAGCUAUUUUUGUUACAUGUUAAUGAGGUAUCAAUUGUUAACUUAUUUUUGAUAAAUAAAUAUUUUGUCACAUUCAUAAUCAAA